UAGUUCUCCCUAGAAACUACUGCAAUGAAUGGAAGAGCUGUAAGUGUAGAAACAGCUCUAAGAAGUGGGGAUGUAGAGAAAAUAAUGCAUUGGCACACGGAUGCUAAUUACCAGGUCUUAUUAAUGUAAAUUGGAGUUUGGAAUCUUUGCUACUUUGUAGGCAGGAAGCAGUGUUUUAUAAAGGUAAGAAAGCCACAUUAUUACUUGGUAUUGCAAGGGUGAAGCCUUGGAUUUGACUGCAGCUGCUUUUGCUCCAAUAGUCUUGUAGAAGCUGCAAGAUUAAAGUGAUCUUUCAAAAUAACAGUCAUGGUGAAAGGUCACAAAAUUUCAAUUAUAAGUGUAUGUAGUCCUGAUACCUUAAAGAACUCUGGAAAGACACAUCAUCACCCUGAAAAAAAGGGCAGAGAGUCCAAUAAUGUUGUGUCCUUGCAGCCCUUACUUGGAAGAGCUGCACAGAAAUGCUUCCACAACUGCAUAAGAUGCUUCAGUCCUACCACCUCAUUUAAAGUCUCGGCCUUCAGUGUUUGUUCAGAGAUGUGUGCCUGCUUCUAUGAAUAGUCUUAUAUUGUCCCUGUGGGCCUCAUGUAAUGUAGUUCUUGUCAUUUGUCAUUACUCUUUGGGGUGUUGUUUGCACAGGAUGCUCUUUACACCAGGCUUGUGAGAUCACCCAGUCCUCUUGUCCUUUGGAUCACCAACUGCUUAGACUUUGGGCAUUGAAUUGCCUUCAGUAUGUGCUACUUUUAUUAACAGUGAACUGGUAGAAACUUUUGAGUUACCUGAGAUGUUAAAUCCCUUAAUUUUUUUAAGACUGAAGGAGCUGGGUACCCCACCUGAGCUCUGAGCCCCGUUUCUUGUUGGCUCACCUUGCACUGUCUCUGACCUCAACUGCUCCAUUUUCUGGUAGGCUCUUGGAGCAGGUCUUGCAGCUGGGUGCAGGUCUGGCUGCAGCUUCAGGACUUGAAUCUGCUUGCUGGAUCCCAUGGUCUCAUGUGUCUGUGUGAUGUUUUCCAGCUUAUUACAAUCCCCGUGUCCUGGGGGCCACUGAGAUUCAGUAGGAUCUGUGUAGCCUUGAGUCCAGUCAGGAGCCAUGGGGGGAGGCUCCCCUGCCAGCUCCGUUCUGAGCUACAGCAAAAGGAGUUAUAUUACUGGAAGGUGGGCAUCUGUGCAAACUGCAAAAAACCAACAAGGCUGAGAGAGGAAAAUACCCACAAGCUCAGAGUCCAUGAGGACUGUAAGUUGUGCUGUCAGUGCAUGUCAAGGACAAAAAAAGUCUCACAAGAUAAGUCAGACUCCUGAAAGCAACUCUACAGGAUGUGUAUAUAGUCAGCUGUAUUUGGGAUGCUGCUGUGGUGAAAGAAUUUCUCUCCAGUAAUUAUUUAAAAUAGGCUUUAUAGAAGCUCAGUUUGUGCUUUGUUAAGAUUUACAAGACAGAGGGAACACUGAGGCACAGGAUGUGUGUUAUUCCAUUUAUGAUUUUCCUAUGGUGUGAGUCUUGGUACUGCUGGCCAAAGCCUUCACAAGAAGAAAUCUUGUACAUUCCAGAGCAGGCAUGUGCACAGAUGACUUGCAAUUACAGCAAGGUGGUAAUAGAAUUGAUUUUCAGCAUGGAGCCAUGUUACUACUCAGUCUGAAUCAGAAACAUCAUUAGCCAACUUAACUUGUCACAUUUUAGGCUGGUGCACGUUCUUUACAUCAUUUUCCAGAAUACUUGACAGCUAAAACAAGGUGUCUGCCCUCUUAAAGCUCCCUCCCUGCGAGUCAGCGAUACCACAUAAUGCACAGAGGCACCUGUUUAGGCUUCUGAUAAUUUAAGAAAGUUGUAAGAUGAAAUAAUGAGACAAAACAGUAUGAACAAAAUUGUGACAAUUAUUUAAACUGUUCUUCAGGUAUCCCAAAUUAAAUUUAAUCAAAACUAUGAUGUAAAAAUCUCUUAUUUUACCCCUGGCCCAAAGAUUUAAAUUUUUUCCAAGACAGAGAUAGUUGCCCCAAACUACUGCCAAUGUAGAAUGGAAUAGCUGACACCUUUAACUUGAAAAUUUCUGUAUGUCAGUCUUGCCAUUAGGCAGGAAACACCUGAGGUUCAUCAGUCUGUGAGGCUGUCAAAGUCUUGUAACUGGAUUUAUCACAAGUGAUGAUCUGUCAGAUUCUUACAGUGAUGUUCACUGUGGCUCCCAGGCACCUGUUUGACCUCAACAGCUGUCAUCACCUAGAACUCUGAAGUGUCCUGGAGAACCCUGGCUCAAAAUCCAGCAAAUUAAAUUUAGUACAAACCAAGAACUUUAGAGCAUCCUAUUUAAAGAUUUUUUUUUCAGCUUCCUCACCGUCAAAAGUGAGACAUCCUUAGGCUAUUAUUAGUGAAGGUGACAUUUCAUGUUCUGCUUCAUACAUAAAUAUGAAUUUCAAGUAUGGAAGAAUUUAGAAGAGAGCGGAAAAAACAGCCUGAAAAUAAUUUGGGGGGAAGUCAUUAUUAUUUAUCAUCAGGGAAAAUACAUGGCUGGGAAGCUACCUCAUUUCAGUUAUCUCCACAUCUGUGGAGUUUUCAUUUAUAAUAGUUCCUUGUGUGGACUCAGCUGUUAUUUCCUUUUUUUAUUUUCCCUUUAUUACAUAUGUCACUAAAAGGAUGAUUGUGUGGUGGAGGACGAGUAAUUUUACCUCAUUAAAAGAAGUGAGUGAAGGUGUUCUAUAAGACUGGGGCCAUUCAGCUAAUUUUGAAUUACUUUCUCCAGAGUCAAACUGCACUAAAAUCCAGCUCUCGACCUGCAGCAGUUGGGGGCUGUCACUGCCUCACUCCUUUCUCAUGUUUCAGUGGAUCAGAUGAGCAGAGCCGGGAGCAGGAGCAGCCGCGUGCACAGUGUAAGGCAGACGGAGGCUUGGGGGUCAGGCAGGGACAGGGACUCCUGGGCAGUCCGAGCAAUCACAUCCCUUGCUGGAUUGGAGCAGCACGAGGAAAGACAUCUGUGUCCACUUUGCACAGAAUGGCCAGUGUUAAGGGAGGCCUGUAGGCUGGUUUUGAAUUUGUGUUCAAUGUUCUGUUCACUGAGGACAGUCCAAAAAAAAUAAACUGUACACAUCUUCACUGUCCACAUCCAUGUCCAGACCUGCAGCCUGCUGUCUCUGGACUCACAUUCUUAUUCUUUCAUAGGGUAAAUGUUUUCUGUCAUACAGCUGAAGUGAUCUUCUAGCUUAUCUGCUGCCAAAUCCAGUCACAGUUCAUCAUAGCCACUGCUGGAGGUACUUUGGGUUAUUUAUUGGACUGUACUGGAAUUCAGAGCACAGACAUGGAGACUCAGAGAUUUGAAAGCCCUGGCAAGACACAUACUUUGUCAGCCAAGGCAGGACAGGUUGUGCUACCUUGUGAGCAUGUGGGAACUGGUACAAUUAGACACCAAGUGUGUAAUUCCACACUUGCACAGCAUCUCUGAAUCGAGUUGGAUUACUUCCAGCCCUGUGGACAAGAGCUAUUCACUUGCUUACACCUCCUGCCAUAAAUCCAAGAUGCUUUCCCUGCUUGGUUUUGCCCUGCUGCUGCAUUACACAGCCAAUGACCUCCUUGUUUGCGCCCCGAUACUGGUGAAUGACGAGUUUAACAAGAUUUAUCCUGCCUACGUAUUUGUCUAAAGCUGUUGCCUUUAAUCCAGCCACUGAAAAGAAUAUUCUUUACCUACUGGAAAACACAGUGUCUACGCUUUCAUGGGCCUUGCCUGGAAUUUGAAUGUGCCUCUGUUUAUGAAAGAUGUUACUCUCUGAGAGAGGAAAAAGUGUGUAAAACUAUUUACUGCUAGUUUCUGAUUUGUUCCAUAUCUCUUGCAGCUUGAAUGAAAACUCAUUCAAGAGUUCUCAUUCAAGAAAGGUCCAGCUUUCCAAGUCCACGAAAUUACUUUACCUUAAGUUCAUUAACUACCCAGCUUUGUUUGUUUUCCUCAGUCUUUUCCCACAGAUUUCUAAGGUGAUUUAUUCAAAAUGUGUUAAGUAACCUAUUAAGAACUGUUCUUAAAUGCAAUUUCAGUAUUUUAUGAUAAAAAACCAUCUUGAGGUGCUGAUUCUCAAACCAAAAAUGGAGCAGCUUCACCUUGCUACAGCGUCACUCCGGAGUGUGAAAGAUAUCAAUAACAGAGAGGGUUUGAAUUCCAUACAAAUCUUUCUCUAUCAAGAAAAGGCUUUAAUUAAAAAGCAAGUGUGCUGUUUUUCAUUUUAAGAUGCUGGAACUCUUUAGCAUUUGGCAAGUUCAGACUGAUGCUUCAAGUGUUAAGGUGAAAGCUGCCCAUUUAUGACCUGUAAUGAAUAUUUCAUUUUCUCUCCAUAUUGGAAACAAUAAAAAUUCAAAUGCAAUGAAAAUUAACUGUAAUAAUGACACUAUCAGUCUUGAAGUAAAGCAUUUAUUAGUAUCACCUGGAAAAUGUAUCACAUGCCACCUGCCACCAUUUAGACCACUUCAGAUACUUUACAAAGCUUUAGUAAAAUCAGAAUGUUUACAAUUAAUUUUCAACCAACAUAGAAAGAUUUAUAGUUUUUAUUGAAGCAGUAAAAAAAAGGUCAUCUUUGACUGUGACUUGCUCUCAAUGACAUGGGAUACAUGAAAUCAAUGCCCACAGAAACAUCUCUUCCAAGCCCUUCCCACUAAGAUUUAGAGUAUGAGGCAGCUAUUUUCUGGUGGUGAAUGCUCCAAUUGCUGUGUGCUCACUGGCAAAACAUCUGCUUUUGCAGAUCCCUUUGCUCCACGGCAGUCACACAAUUUAGAAUGUUGCAAAGAAAACCUGCCUCAAAUGAAGUCAAUGCAAUCUUCCCAUAGUUUUCAAGUGUGUUUGGAUCAAGGGUGCCUAGGUUUUUACACGCCAAUCAACAGAAUACCAUAAGAACUCUUGGAAUGUUGUAUCUUUUAAUUCUGGGGAAUGUAAUAACAAAUGAAGGCAAGCUAUAUGAUUACUAAUGUAAUUUUUAGUUGUGAAGGCAGUACUUCCAAAACCAAAAUCCUCUGUUAAUAGUUGUCAAGAAUAUCCUUUCCCCCUUUUUACUCUAAGUACUACAAAGUGAUUAGAAUUUCUGAAGUAAAAGUUUAAGUGAAGUAUAUGUUCUUCAACUCACUUAGCACUGACAGGCCAAAAACUCACCGAGCACAAAUGACCAAAACCUGGGAACCACAGGAGAUCAGUCUGCUGAGAUACAUCAAGGUGCACAUGUCAGUAUGAAUGGUGUUUGGGAAUUCUAGAUAUCAUUGCAGGAACUUUGGCUUGAGCAGCAUUUUUAACUGUUGGUCAGAGUUUCAUUAAUUCCCAUACAUUCUAGUCCCUGCUGUUCCCAAAAGAGUAUGUUCAGUGAAUGAGAGCUCAGGUUGAAAAGUAAUUCAUAGUUGAGUUUUUGCUCUUUUAUCCAAUAAAAACUGGCUAUACUGAGAAAAGUGACUAUGGGUAUCCUGUAUCAGCUGUAUAAAUUGUAUUGUUUAAGUGUUGCAUGUAAGUGCUACAAUCCCAACUGGAUUUGUGAUUUAGUAAUUAGAACAUUAUUCUGGAUUGGGCCUUGGCUCAGAUUUUCAUCCUCAAAUACAGACAGUUAAUGUUGAACUAAUUGAGUUGCUUGCAAGAAGACAAACUUCUGUUGUGGUUUUUCAGUCUUGCAGCAGGACGAGUCAGUAUGUUGGUGCAAAAUUAAUCAUGUAUAAUUGAAGAAAAUUGCUUAUAUGUAACCAGAAAGAACUGAAGUGAUACCAGAAUAUUUAUACAUCUAACUAUGAAAUACCUUGUAGUAAAAAAAUCCAGAGAAAAUGUGAUAUCAGUGAAACUUGUCUGAAAUGACUAAUAAAAAUAUGCUGCUUAAA
RNAcentral lists this long non-coding RNA (5812 nucleotides) under Taeniopygia guttata (zebra finch). RNAcentral's name for it is "lncRNA (ENSTGUG00000024925.1)". Lineage: Eukaryota; Metazoa; Chordata; Aves; Passeriformes; Estrildidae. The record is from RNAcentral.